RNAcentral lists this ribosomal RNA (252 nucleotides) under uncultured Bacteroidales bacterium. Its description in RNAcentral is "partial 16S ribosomal RNA". It matches the Rfam family "Bacterial small subunit ribosomal RNA", at positions 524 to 776 of the family's 1533-position model. Lineage: Bacteria; Pseudomonadati; Bacteroidota; Bacteroidia; Bacteroidales. The record is from RNAcentral.
UACGUAGGUGGCGAGCGUUAUCCGGAUUUAUUGGGUUUAAAGGGUGCGCAGGCGGGCUGUUAAGCCGGCGGUAAAAAUUCAGGGCUCAACCCUGUCGAGCCGUCGGAACUGGCAGUCUUGAGUGGGCGAGAAGUAUGCGGAAUGCGUGGUGUAGCGGUGAAAUGCAUAGAUAUCACACAGAACACCGAUUGCGAAGGCAUCUGACGAAUCGGAGAUUGACGCUGAUGCACGAAAGCGUGGGUAUCGAACAGG